UCGAGGGGUAUAGUUCUUCGGAAUAGAGACCGGCGCACGGGUGCGUAACGCGUAUGCAAUCUACCUUUCACAGAGGGAUAGCCCAGAGAAAUUUGGAUUAAUACCUCAUAGUAUUAUGAAAUGGCAUCAUUUUAUAAUUAAAGUCACAACGGUGAAAGAUGAGCAUGCGUCCCAUUAGCUAGUUGGUAAGGUAACGGCUUACCAAGGCUACGAUGGGUAGGGGUCCUGAGAGGGAGACCCCCCACACUGGUACUGAGACACGGACCAGACUCCUACGGGAGGCAGCAGUGAGGAAUAUUGGUCAAUGGGCGCAAGCCUGAACCAGCCAUGCCGCGUGCAGGAUGACGGUCCUAUGGAUUGUAAACUGCUUUUGUACGGGAAGAAACAACGAUUCGUGAAUCGUCUUGACGGUACCGUAAGAAUAAGGAUCGGCUAACUCCGUGCCAGCAGCCGCGGUAAUACGGAGGAUCCAAGCGUUAUCCGGAAUCAUUGGGUUUAAAGGGUCCGUAGGCGGUUUAGUAAGUCAGUGGUGAAAGCCCAUCGCUCAACGGUGGAACGGCCAUUGAUACUGCUAGACUUGAAUUAUUAGGAAGUAACUAGAAUAUGUAGUGUAGCGGUGAAAUGCUUAGAGAUUACAUGGAAUACCAAUUGCGAAGGCAGGUUACUACUAAU
Molecule: ribosomal RNA, 672 nt
Filed under: uncultured Bacteroidota bacterium
Lineage: Bacteria; Pseudomonadati; Bacteroidota
Description: bacterial SSU rRNA
Rfam family: Bacterial small subunit ribosomal RNA
Source: RNAcentral